RNAcentral lists this ribosomal RNA (380 nucleotides) under uncultured eukaryote. RNAcentral's name for it is "partial 18S ribosomal RNA". It matches the Rfam family "Eukaryotic small subunit ribosomal RNA", at positions 592 to 976 of the family's 1831-position model. The record is from RNAcentral.
CAAUAGCGUAUAUUAAAGUUGUUGCGGUUAAAAAGCUCGUAGUUGGAUUUCUGCCGAGGACGACCGGUCCGCCCUCCGGGUGAGUAUCUGGCUCGGCCUGGGCAUCUUCUUGGAGAACGUAGCUGCACUUGGCUGUGUGGUGCGGUAUUCAGGACUUUUACUUUGAGGAAAUUAGAGUGUUUCAAGCAGGCACACGCCUUGAAUACAUUAGCAUGGAAUAAUAAGAUAGGACCUCGGUUCUAUUUUGUUGGUUUCUAGAUCUGAGGUAAUGAUUAAUAGGGAUAGUUGGGGGCAUUCGUAUUUAACUGUCAGGGGUGAAAUUCUUGGAUUUGUUAAAGACGGACUACUGCGAAAGCAUUUGCCAAGGAUGUUUUCAUUGA